CGGGUGAGUAACACGUGGAUAACCUACCUAUAAGACUGGGAUAACUUCGGGAAACCGGAGCUAAUACCGGAUAAUAUAUUGAACCGCAUGGUUCAAUAGUGAAAGACGGUUUUGCUGUCACUUAUAGAUGGAUCCGCGCUGCAUUAGCUAGUUGGUAAGGUAACGGCUUACCAAGGCAACGAUGCGUAGCCUACCUGAGAGGGUGAUCGGCCACACUGGAACUGAGACACGGUCCAGACUCCUACGGGAGGCAGCAGUA
RNAcentral lists this ribosomal RNA (259 nucleotides) under uncultured Staphylococcus sp. Its description in RNAcentral is "partial 16S ribosomal RNA". It matches the Rfam family "Bacterial small subunit ribosomal RNA", at positions 103 to 355 of the family's 1533-position model. The record is from RNAcentral. Lineage: Bacteria; Bacillati; Bacillota; Bacilli; Caryophanales; Staphylococcaceae.